GCGGGGUGCCGCCCGUGGCAGGCGGCUGAGAGAGACCCGUUGAACCUGAUCUAGGUAGUGCUAGCGAAGGAACGUCGCGAU
RNAcentral lists this non-coding RNA (81 nucleotides) under uncultured Dermatophilus sp. RNAcentral's name for it is "TPP riboswitch (THI element)". It matches the Rfam family "TPP riboswitch aptamer (THI element)", at positions 10 to 89 of the family's 105-position model. From Rfam's summary of the family: Vitamin B(1) in its active form thiamin pyrophosphate (TPP) is an essential coenzyme that is synthesised by coupling of pyrimidine and thiazole moieties in bacteria. Lineage: Bacteria; Bacillati; Actinomycetota; Actinomycetes; Micrococcales; Dermatophilaceae. The record is from RNAcentral.